This 490-nucleotide ribosomal RNA is filed under the name uncultured bacterium. Its description in RNAcentral is "bacterial SSU rRNA". It matches the Rfam family "Bacterial small subunit ribosomal RNA", at positions 30 to 506 of the family's 1533-position model. The record is from RNAcentral.
AUUGAACGCUGGCGGCAUGCCUUACACAUGCAAGUCGAACGGCAGCACGGGAGCAAUCCUGGUGGCGAGUGGCGAACGGGUGAGUAAUAUAUCGGAACGUGCCCAGUCGUGGGGGAUAACGUAGCGAAAGCUACGCUAAUACCGCAUACGAUCUACGGAUGAAAGCGGGGGAUCGCAAGACCUCGCGCGAUUGGAGCGGCCGAUAUCUGAUUAGCUAGUUGGUGGGGUAAAGGCCCACCAAGGCGACGAUCAGUAGCUGGUCUGAGAGGACGACCAGGCCACACUGGAACUGAGACACGGUCCAGACUCCUACGGGAGGCAGCAGUGGGGAAUUUUGGACAAUGGGCGCAAGCCUGAUCCAGCCAUUCCGCGUGAGUGAAGAAGGCCUUCGGGUUGUAAGUACUCUUUCGCUAAGGGAAGGAAAACUUAAGUCCUCUAACAUAGGAUGAGGUUGACGGUACCUUGAUAAGAAGACACCGGCUAACUACGU